Molecule: long non-coding RNA, 5271 nt
Organism: Mirounga angustirostris (Northern elephant seal)
Lineage: Eukaryota; Metazoa; Chordata; Mammalia; Carnivora; Phocidae
Exons: 3
Source: RefSeq, a predicted model, not a curated record
GGUCAGAGGGAGAAGCAGACUCCCUGCCGAGCAGGGAGCCCGAUGUGGGACUCGAUCCCGGGACUCCAGGAUCAUGACCUGAGCCGAAGGCAGUCGCUUAACCAACUGAGCCACCCAGGCGCCCAAAAAAUAAAUAAAAUCUUAAAAAAAAAAAAAAGAAAAAGAAAAACUGUGUACUUUGUUGUAUGUCAAUCAUACCUCAAAGUCAUUUUAAAACAUCAUAGUUACCACAAACUAGAAAACUACUCUCAAGAAUCCUUAUAGUCAAUAAUAACCUAUCUUUGCUAUUUAGCACUCUAUAAAAUCAAUUAUCACGAUGAAGAACAGGUUAGUAGUUGCCAGGGGUUAGGGUGUUGGGAGGCGAUCAGGAAGUUACUGUAAAGAGGUAGCAUGAGGGAGCUUUUUGUAGCGAUGGAGCAGUCUGUAUUUUUUUUUUUUUAAUAUUUCUUUUUUUUUUUAUUAUUUUUUUUUAUUUUAUUUUUUAAAGAUUUUAUUUAUUAUUUAUUUGAGACAGAGAGAAUGAGAGACAGAGAGCAUGAGAGGGAGGAGGGUCAGAGGGAGAAGCAGACUCCCUGCCGAGCAGGGAGCCCGAUGCGGGACUCGAUCCCGGGACUCCAGGAUCAUGACCUGAGCUGAAGGCAGUCGCUUAACCAACUGAGCCACCCAGGCGCCCAAUAUUUCUUUAAAAAAAAAUUUUUUUAAGAUUUUAUUUAUUUAUUUGACAGAGACACAGCGAGAGAGAGAGGGAACACAAGCAGGGGGAGUGGGAGAGGGAGAAGCUCACCUUCUUGCUGAGCAGGGAGCCUGAUGCGGGGCUCGAUCCCAGGACCCCAGGAUCAUGACCUGAGCCAAAGGCAGACGCUUAACGACUGAGCCACCCAGGAGCCCCUGGAGUAGUCUGUAUCUUUUUUUUUUUUUUUAAAGAUUUUAUUUAUUUAUUUGAGACAGAGAGAAUGAGAGAGACAGAGAGCACAUGAGAGGGGGGAGGGUCAGAGGGAGAAGCAGGCUCCCUGCCGAGCAGGGAGCCCGAUGCGGGACUCGAUCCAGGGACUCCAGGAUCAUGACCUGAGCCGAAGGCAGUCGCCCAACCGACUGAGCCACCCAGGCGCCCCUGGAGUAGUCUGUAUCUUGAUUGUGGUAGUGCUUAUACAAGUCUACACGUGAUAAAAUGACGGAAUUAUACACACACACCAAUAUAAGCGUACCUCGUUUUAUUGUGCUUUGCAGAUACUGUGUUUUUUACAAAUCGAAAGUCUGUGACCACUCUGUUGAGCAAGUCUUUUGGAGCCAUUUUUUUCAACAGUAUUUGCUCACUUUGUGUCUCUCUGUCACAUUUUUUAAUUCUCUCAAUAUUUAAAACUUUGUCAUUAUUGUAAUAUUUGAAUUGCUGCAAAUCUCGUAAAAUUUUAACAGAUGAGGAGUUGCUUCUUAUUGAUGAGCAAAGAAAGUAUUUUCUUAGAUGGAACGUACUCCUGGUGAAGGUGCUGUGGAGAUUGUUGAAAUGACAACAAAAGAUUAGAAUAUACGUAAAGUUAGUUGUUAAAGUAACAGCAGGGUUUGAGAAAACUGACUCCAAUUUUGAAAGUUUUGUGGGUAAAACACUAUCAAACAGCAUUGCCUGCCACAGAGAAAUCGUUUGUGAAAGGAAGAGUUAAUCCAUGUGAUAAAUUUCAUUGUUGUCUUAUUUUAAGAAAUUGCCCAAGUAACCCCAGUCUUCAACAACCACCACCCUGAUCAGUCGGCAGCCAUCAACAUUGAGGCUCUAAGCCCAACAUGGGGCUUGAACUCACAACCCUGAGAUUGAGAGUCACAUGCUCUACCAACUGAGCCAGCCAGACACCCCGGCAGUAAGACUUAGAGCUGAAGAAGCUGGCAACCAAGAAACAGUGAUGGGCCACAGACAAAAAACACCCCAAGAGGGCACCUAGGUGGCUCAGUUGGUUAAGCGACUGCCUUCAGCUCAGGUCAUGAUCCUGGAGUCCCGAGAUCAAGUCCUGCAUCAGGCUGUCUACUCAGUGGGGAGUCUGCUUCUCCCUCUGACCCUCCUCCCUCUCAUGUUCUCUGUCUGUCAUUCUCUCUCUCAAAUAGAUAAAGUCUUUAAAAAAUAAAAUAAAUAAAAACACCCCAAGAAAAGCCUGCUUUCUGUAGCCAAAGGACUAGAAAAGAGGUUUGCAAGACAAAACUUUUAGACAGUAACCACUCUACUCCAGCCAAACAUCACAGAAAAAAACUCAGGCCCUACUCCCACCCAUGCCACAAAGGUUAAGGGGGGAGCUUAUUCUUCCACCCUUGUGAGGCUGUAUCGAAAUGCUCCAAACUCCUGCUGGGGUGGUAUCAGAGAAAGCCAAAUAGGGAGCUGAGAUUAUCACCCCCAUGAGGCAAUAACAAGGCACUGAACCCUCCUGACAGAGGUAGUGUCUGAAGAGAACUAAUCAGAACUUUAAGGGCUUUCAACAAUGUCCAGUGAUUAUGAGACUGCAUAUACCCCCAUGUCAGUGGAGUCCUCGUGAGGAGCAUUAAUAGGCAGUCUGCUACACUCUGCUAAGGAAGUAUUAGUUGAGCCCUACUGGAGAGCCAGAACUCAUGUCUGAGCCUAGCAGUAAUGAGGAACCCUUCCCUUGGGUGUCCAAGGAGGCUAAUUGUAAACCUGGACUUCUGUCUUCACCUGACAGUAACAAGAGGCCCCCCCGCCUUUUGCCAGACCAGUGGAAGAAAAAGGAAAACAGAAGGUUUAAGUAAGAUCCCAAGUCUGAGAACAUAAUAUGAAAAUGUCCAGGUUUCAAUCUGCUCAGGGGGGAGUCUGCUUCUCCCUCUCCUGCUCCAGCUCCCCCUGUUUGUGCUCUCUCUCUCUAAUUAAUAAAAACAAUCUUUUUUAAAAAAUAAAAAAAAUGAUACCUAUGGGAGGGAAAAGAGACCUGAAGGGAGGUAAAGUUUCUGCACUUCACUUGAACUGGCAACUGGCAAAACCGUAGACAGUGAUAAGACUAUGAUAAAAAUAAUAUAAUAACUAGAGAAACAACUAAAAGCUAUGCAUCUAAAAGCUAUCAAAGCUAUACAAAAGCACUAUAGAUUCCUUAUUUCAAAACUUCUGGGGCGCCUGGGUGGCUCAGUCAGUUGAGCAUCUGCCUUCAGCUCAUGUCAUGAUCCCAGGGUCCUGGGAUUGAGUCCCGCAUCAGGCUCCCCGCUCAGCGGGGAGCCUGCUUCUUCCUCUCUCUUUGUCCCUCCCCCUGCUUGUGCUUGCUCUCACUCUCUCUGUCAAAUAAAUCUUUAAAAAAAAAAAUUUUUUUUUAAAGAUUUUAUUUAUUUGACAGAGAGACACAGAGAGAGCCACCCAGGUGCCCCUAAAAAAUAACUUCUUACAAAGCUACACUAAUCAAGACACUGUGUUACUGAUGUAAGGACAGACACAGAUGAAUGGAAUAAAAUUGAGAAUCCAGAAAUGGACCAUUGCUUUUAUCAGCAAUUACAUUCCAAUGGGGAAAGAUUCUUUUCAACAAAUGAUGCUAAGACAACUAGAUAUCCACAUGACAGAUCAGUGAAGUCAGUCCCAUUCAUCAUACCAUACACAAAAAUGAACUCAACAUGGAUAAACUUCCUAAAUGUCAGAGCUAAAACUGUACAACUUUUAGAUGAAAACAGAUGUAAAUCUUCCUGACUUUGGGUUACACAACUAUUCCUUAGGUGUAUCACCAUAAACACAGUAACAAAAGAAAAAAAGAAACUGUAUAUCAUCAAAAUUAAAAAUGUUUGUGCUUCAGGGGGCCCGGCUGGCUCAGUCAGAAGAGCAUGUGACUCUCGGACUCAGGGCCGUGAGUUUGAGCCCCACGUUGGGUGUAGGGAUUACUUAAAUAAAUAAACUAAAAAAAAGAUUUUUGUGUGUGUGCUUUAAAGGACACAUAAUCAGGAAAAUGAAAAAGACAACUCACAGAAUUGGAGAAAAUUUUUGCAAAUAAUAUAUCUGAGAAGGGACUUGUAUCUAGAAUAUAAAAUUGCAACUCAAUGAUAAAAAGACAACCCAGUUUUAAAAGGGACCUGAAAAGACAUUUCUCCAAAGAAUAUAUACAAAUGGCCUAUAAUGAAAAGGUGCUCAACAUCAUUAGCCAUUAAGGAAAUAUACACAGAUUCCUAAGCAAAUAUUAACAAAUCGAAUUCAGCAAUAUAUGAAAGUAAUUAUAUACCAUGCCCAAAUGAGGUUUUAAGGAUGCAGGCUUUUCAGUAUUUGAAAAUCCAUCAGUGUAAACAGGCUGUUAAACAGGCUGAAGAAAAAUCACAUGAACAUGACAUUCAAUGCAGAAAAAGCUUUUGAAAAAAACAAAUUCUUGAUAAAACUCUCAAGAAUAGAGGAGAACUUCCUCUACCUGAUAAAGAGCAUCCACACACACAAAAAAAUCUACAAAUAACUUUAUACUUAAGGGUGAAGAAUGAAAUCCAAUCAGUUGCUUUUCCUGUAAGAUUGAGAACAGAGUAUAUCUACUGUCGCUGUAACAGCACUCCAGCUGGUCUUAAGGGUUAACUUGCUUCCAGCUUAUGCACUCCUUGCUUGCUGACCAAAGUCCCUUGGUCUGUAGUAGACCUGACAUAAUCUUGAGAUUUGCAGACCACUGGCCUUGAGGAGUGAAGGACCCAACUUUCCCGGAAGAUAAAGUCUGACUAAAUUUGAAAACAGCUUUAUUUAUUCAUUCGCUAACGCCAGCAAAUCCGUUCAGAGUCAUGUCGACAAGAGACUAACCUAACCACCUGGGCACCUUCUUCUCCUGCACAUAGUCCCCCUCCCUUUACCCAUGACUUCUCCUUUAAAGCCUUCCAGCUCCCCUGGGUGUGGAAGAUGGUCUUUGAGAUGUUAGUUCACCAUCUUUCCAGGUUGCCGGCUUCCUGAAUAAAGCAACCUUUCGUUUCCCACCAUCACUUGUCUCUUGAGUAUUGAUUUUCAAGUGGUGAGCAGCUGAACCUGAGUUCAGAACCAGUUCUCAAUUUGUCACCAGUCCUAUUACACAAAGUGCCAGGAAUUGUAGCCUGCUCAAUAAGUCAAGAAAAGGAAAUAAAAGGCUUUCAUAUCAGAAAGGAAGAAAUGUUCUAUAGUAUUAAUGUCAAUAUUCUGGUUGGGAUAUCAUGGUAAAGUUUUGCAACAUGUUGCCCUUGGGGGGAACUGAGUAAAGGAUACAAGCAUCUCUGUAUUAUUUCUUACAACUGAAAGUUGAUAUAGAAUCAUCUCAAAAAAAAUUUUUUUUUUAAAGAUUUUAUUUAUUUGACAGAGAGAGACAAAUGUAUGGA